CCUGAAGAUACCUUCCGGCGCAGUGUCCACACAGAUUGUCUGAUAGAAGUAAUGAGCAAGGCGCCUGCGAAGUCGCGACACACCGUGUCCCCUUCGUCUAGCGGUUAGGACUCCGCCCUUUCACGGCGGCAACAGGGGUUCGAAUCCCCUAGGGGACGCCACUUGCUUGGUGACAGGUGAAAGGUGUCGCUAAAAAUAUCUUAAAGCUGACUGCAAAGUCAGGUUUAAGAUAUUGCUCUUUAACAAUCCGGAACAAGCUGAAAAUUGAAACGACAUGUCGUAUUCAUUCUCCGUAAUCAGAAUGAAGCCACGAUAUGUUCGAGUCUCUCAAUGCCUGCAACCGACACACGUCUUUCGGGACGCUUGUGGGUUGUGA
Molecule: unclassified non-coding RNA, 376 nt
Filed under: Erwinia amylovora
Lineage: Bacteria; Pseudomonadati; Pseudomonadota; Gammaproteobacteria; Enterobacterales; Erwiniaceae
Description: 16S-23S ribosomal RNA intergenic spacer
Rfam family: tRNA (bases 87-158)
Source: RNAcentral